UGAAUACGAGAUGCUACGGCGUCGAAGCAGUCUAUGUCAUACUUCCAAGAAAAGCUCGCACUGUCAUAAACAAAUAAUGCCUGUACCAUAACCGACACAGGUGGGUAGGUAGAGUAUACUAAGGGGCGCGAGAUAACUCUCUCUAAGGAACUCGGCAAAGUGACUCCGUAACUUCGGGAGAAGGAGUGCCUUAUUUAUAAGGUUGCAAUAACAAGAUCCAAGCAACUGUUUAUCAAAAACACAGGUCUCCGCUAAGUCGUAAGACGAUGUAUGGGGGCUGACGCCUGCCCAGUGCCAGAAGGUUAAAGAAGUUGGUUAGCAUUCGCGAAGCUGAUAACUGAAGCCCUGGUGAACGGCGGCCGUAACAAUAACGGUCCUAAGGUAGCGAAAUUCCUUGUCGGGUAAGUUCCGACCCGCACGAAAGGCGUAAUGAUUUGGAUACUGUCUCGGAGAGGGGCUCGGUGAAAUAGACUUGUCUGUGAAGAUGCGGACUACCUGCACCAGGACAGAAAGACCCUAUGAAGCUUUACUGUAACUUGAGAUUGAAAUUGGACUUUACUUGCGCAGUAUAGGUGGGAGGCGUUGAUAAUAUUCUUGCGGGAUUAUUUGAGCCAUCAGUGAGAUACCACUCUUGUAAUGUUAGAUUUCUAACUUUGUAUCAUUAUCCGGUCAAAGGACAGUUUCAGGCGGGCAGUUUGACUGGGGCGGUCGCCUCCUAAACGGUAACGGAGGCGCACAAAGGUUUCCUCUGAACGGGUAGAAAUCGUAUCUAGAGUGUAAAGGCAUAAGGAAGCUUGACUGUGAGACCUACAAGUCGAGCAGGGACGAAAGUCGGUCUUAGUGAUCUGACGGUGCUGAGUGGAAAGGCCGUCACUCAACGGAUAAAAGUUACUCUAGGAUAACAGGCUGAUCUCCCCCAAGAGUUCACAUCGACGGGGAGGUUUGGCACCUCGAUGUCGGCUCAUCGCAUCCUGGGGCGGUAGUACGUCCCAAGGGUUGGGCUGUUCGCCCAUGAAAGCGGUACGCGAGCUGGGUUCAGAACGUCGUGAGACAGUUCGGUCCAUAUCCGGUGUAGGCGUUAGAAUAUUGAGAGGAGCCUUCUUUAGUACGAGAGGACCGAGAAGGACAUACCUCUGGUGUACCAGUUAUCGUGCCAACGGUAAACGCUGGGUAGCUAUGUAUGGAGUGGAUAACCGCUGAAAGCAUCUAAGUGGGAAGCCCACCUCAAGAUAAGUAUUC
Molecule: ribosomal RNA, 1239 nt
Filed under: metagenome
Description: bacterial LSU rRNA
Rfam family: Bacterial large subunit ribosomal RNA
Source: RNAcentral